GUUCUUGUAGUGAACAACAACGGUGUUUCUUCAAGUCCCUGGUCUCGGUUAAAAUCCGAGCAAGAAUU
Non-coding RNA from Ctenopharyngodon idella (grass carp), 68 nucleotides. The record is from the annotation of a RefSeq genome assembly. NCBI's taxonomy places the organism in Eukaryota, Metazoa, Chordata, Actinopteri, Cypriniformes, Xenocyprididae.